CAGUAGCCACGGUAAUACGUAGGGUGCAAGCGUUAAUCGGAAUUACUGGGCGUAAAGCGUGCGCAGGCGGUUAUAUAAGACAGAUGUGAAAUCCCCGGGCUCAACCUGGGAACUGCAUUUGUGACUGUAUAGCUAGAGUACGGCAGAGGGGGAUGGAAUUCCGCGUGUAGCAGUGAAAUGCGUAGAUAUGCGGAGGAACACCGAUGGCGAAGGCAAUCCCCUGGGCCUGUACUGACGCUCAUGCACGAAAGCGUGGGGAGCAAACAGGAUUAGAUACCCCUGUAGUCCCUGUCUUUUAUAU
Molecule: ribosomal RNA, 301 nt
Filed under: uncultured bacterium
Lineage: Bacteria
Description: partial 16S ribosomal RNA
Rfam family: Bacterial small subunit ribosomal RNA
Source: RNAcentral